CAGUAGCCGCGGGAAUACAGAGGUCUCAAGCGUUGUUCGGAUUCAUUGGGCGUAAGGGGUGCGUAGGUGGCUUGGUAAGUUGAAGGUGAAAUCUCGGGGCUUAACUCCGAAACUGCCUUCAAUACUGCUGAGCUCGAGGAUUGUAGAGGAGAAUGGAAUUCACGGUGUAGCAGUGAAAUGCGUAGAUAUCGUGAGGAAGACCAGUGGCGAAGGCGAUUCUCUGGGCAACUCCUGACACUGAGACACGAAGACCAGGGGAGCAAACGGGAUUAGAUACCCCCGUAGUCCCUGUCUCUUAUAC
This 301-nucleotide ribosomal RNA is filed under the name uncultured bacterium. RNAcentral describes it as "partial 16S ribosomal RNA". It matches the Rfam family "Bacterial small subunit ribosomal RNA", at positions 509 to 807 of the family's 1533-position model. The record is from RNAcentral.